GAUGAACGCUGGCGGCGUGCCUAAUACAUGCAAGUCGAGCGAACGGACGAGAAGCUUGCUUCUCUGAUGUUAGCGGCGGACGGGUGAGUAACACGUGGAUAACCUACCUAUAAGACUGGGAUAACUUCGGGAAACCGGAGCUAAUACCGGAUAAUAUUUUGAACCGCAUGGUUCAAAAGUGAAAGACGGUCUUGCUGUCACUUAUAGAUGGAUCCGCGCUGCAUUAGCUAGUUGGUAAGGUAACGGCUUACCAAGGCAACGAUGCAUAGCCGACCUGAGAGGGUGAUCGGCCACACUGGAACUGAGACACGGUCCAGACUCCUACGGGAGGCAGCAGUAGGGAAUCUUCCGCAAUGGGCGAAAGCCUGACGGAGCAACGCCGCGUGAGUGAUGAAGGUCUUCGGAUCGUAAAACUCUGUUAUUAGGGAAGAACAUAUGUGUAAGUAACUGUGCACAUCUUGACGGUACCUAAUCAGAAAGCCACGGCUAACUACGUGCCAGCAGCCGCGGUAAUACGUAGGUGGCAAGCGUUAUCCGGAAUUAUUGGGCGUAAAGCGCGCGUAGGCGGUUUUUUAAGUCUGAUGUGAAAGCCCACGGCUCAACCGUGGAGGGUCAUUGGAAACUGGAAAACUUGAGUGCAGAAGAGGAAAGUGGAAUUCCAUGUGUAGCGGUGAAAUGCGCAGAGAUAUGGAGGAACACCAGUGGCGAAGGCGACUUUCUGGUCUGUAACUGACGCUGAUGUGCGAAAGCGUGGGGAUCAAACAGGAUUAGAUACCCUGGUAGUCCACGCCGUAAACGAUGAGUGCUAAGUGUUAGGGGGUUUCCGCCCCUUAGUGCUGCAGCUAACGCAUUAAGCACUCCGCCUGGGGAGUACGACCGCAAGGUUGAAACUCAAAGGAAUUGACGGGGACCCGCACAAGCGGUGGAGCAUGUGGUUUAAUUCGAAGCAACGCGAAGAACCUUACCAAAUCUUGACAUCCUUUGACAACUCUAGAGAUAGAGCCUUCCCCUUCAGGGGACAAAGUGACAGGUGGUGCAUGGUUGUCGUCAGCUCGUGUCGUGAGAUGUUGGGUUAAGUCCCGCAACGAGCGCAACCCUUAAGCUUAGUUGCCAUCAUUAAGUUGGGCACUCUAAGUUGACUGCCGGUGACAAACCGGAGGAAGGUGGGGAUGACGUCAAAUCAUCAUGCCCCUUAUGAUUUGGGCUACACACGUGCUACAAUGGACAAUACAAAGGGCAGCGAAACCGCGAGGUCAAGCAAAUCCCAUAAAGUUGUUCUCAGUUCGGAUUGUAGUCUGCAACUCGACUGCAUGAAGCUGGAAUCGCUAGUAAUCGUAGAUCAGCAUGCUACGGUGAAUACGUUCCCGGGUCU
Molecule: ribosomal RNA, 1372 nt
Filed under: uncultured bacterium
Lineage: Bacteria
Description: bacterial SSU rRNA
Rfam family: Bacterial small subunit ribosomal RNA
Source: RNAcentral